RNAcentral lists this ribosomal RNA (380 nucleotides) under uncultured eukaryote. Its description in RNAcentral is "partial 18S ribosomal RNA". It matches the Rfam family "Eukaryotic small subunit ribosomal RNA", at positions 592 to 976 of the family's 1831-position model. The record is from RNAcentral.
CAAUAGCGUAUAUUAAAGUUGUUGCAGUUAAAAAGCUCGUAGUUGGAUUUGUGGCGUACGGUGUGUUCCGGGCACUUGUUGUCUGAGUAACCUGCUGUUGCCAUCCUUGGGUGGAACCUGUGUGGCAUUAGGUUGUCGUGCAGGGGAUGCCCAUCAUUUACUGUGAAAAAAUUAGAGUGUUCAAAGCAGGCUUAUGCCGUUGAAUAUAUUAGCAUGGAAUAAUGAGAUAGGACUUUUUUGCUAUUUUGUUGGUUUGCGCAAAGAGGUAAUGAUUAGUAGGGACAGUUGGGGGUAUUCGUAUUCCAUUGUCAGAGGUGAAAUUCUUGGAUUUUUGGAAGACGAACUACUGCGAAAGCAUUUACCAAGGAUGUUUUCAUUAA